UCGUGCACGUUCUGGAACAAACCGUUGCCAGUGAUAUCUGUAUUUCCUUUUUGCUUAUAUUAUAGCCAAAUGCAUUUUUAACUUUCUCGCGUAAGGAAGGAAGUUGUAACCAAAACCUGAACUGUAAACCCGAGCAUGUGAAUCACAUCAUUACUGGACUAUACACCGACCCACCGUUGCUUGUGGAGGGUGUACUUGGGAAAUAGGGAGGAAAAUACCUUACCGUAAAGAUGGAUUUGUUGCUUCUAAUUGUCAUUACUAAUGUCCCAGUCACCUUGAAAGCUGCAACAUGUGGUGUGCAGCAACACUGCUCAGACUGUCAUGGGGUGAUAGGGCAUUGUCUCACUGGUUGCGAGGAUGGACUGCAAGAAGAGCCUUUGUAAACUGAACGAGCGAGGUCUUCAGGUAUGCACGGAAGGUUGCAUACCAGGGUAUCGCGGUCGAAACUGUGAUAGCCAGUGUGAUAGCCCAGGGGUCGAAUGUACAAAGUGUCCACACGUGUGUGAUGGCGGAUAUUGUCAGACUGAUUCAACUUGUUUUUCUGGGUGCGU
Haliotis rubra (blacklip abalone) is the source of this 551-nucleotide long non-coding RNA. RefSeq lists it as uncharacterized. The record is from RefSeq and is a predicted model, not a curated record. The transcript has 3 exons. Lineage: Eukaryota; Metazoa; Mollusca; Gastropoda; Lepetellida; Haliotidae.